CACGCAGGUGGUGAGAUAAGUUGGAUGUGAAAUUCCCGUGCUUAACAUGGGGACUGCAUCCAAAACUGUUGAACUGGAGUACUGUAGAGGGAGGUAGAAUUCCACGUGUAGCGGUGAAAUGCGUAGAGAUGUGGAAGAAUACCAGAGGCGAAGGCGGCCUCCUGGACAGAUACUGACACUGAGGUGCGAAAGCGUGGGUAGCAAACA
RNAcentral lists this ribosomal RNA (207 nucleotides) under uncultured bacterium. Its description in RNAcentral is "partial 16S ribosomal RNA". It matches the Rfam family "Bacterial small subunit ribosomal RNA", at positions 568 to 774 of the family's 1533-position model. The record is from RNAcentral.